UAGGGAAUCUUCCACAAUGGACGCAAGUCUGAUGGAGCAACGCCGCGUGAGUGAAGAAGGUUUUCGGAUCGUAAAGCUCUGUUGUUGGUGAAGAAGGAUAGAGGCAGUAACUGGUCUUUAUUUGACGGUAAUCAACCAGAAAGUCACGGCUAACUACGUGCCAGCAGCCGCGGUAAUACGUAGGUGACAAGCGUUGUCCGGAUUUAUUGGGCGUAAAGCGAGCGCAGGCGGAAUGAUAAGUCUGAUGUGAAAGCCCACGGCUCAACCGUGGAACUGCAUCGGAAACUGUCAUUCUUGAGUGCAGAAGAGGAGAGUGGAAUUCCAUGUGUAGCGGUGGAAUGCGUAGAUAUAUGGAAGAACACCAGUGGCAAAGGCGGCUCUCUGGUCUGCAACUGACGCUGAGGCUCGAAAGCAUGGGUAGCGAACAGG
This 429-nucleotide ribosomal RNA is filed under the name bacterium. RNAcentral describes it as "partial 16S ribosomal RNA". It matches the Rfam family "Bacterial small subunit ribosomal RNA", at positions 355 to 776 of the family's 1533-position model. The record is from RNAcentral.